GAACCCGCGAGGGGGAGCGAAUCCCAAAAAUAAACGUCCCGGCUCGGAUUGUAGUCUGCAACCCGACUACAUGAAGCCGGAAUCGCUAGUAAUCGCGGAUCAGAAUGCCGCGGUGAAUACGUUCCCGGGUCUUGUACACACCGCCCGUCACACCAUGAGAGUCGGGAACACCCGAAGUCCGUAGCCUAACCGCAAGGGGGGCGCGGCCGAAGGUGGGUUCGAUAAUUGGGGUGAAGUCGUAACAAGGUAAC
RNAcentral lists this ribosomal RNA (251 nucleotides) under uncultured bacterium. RNAcentral's name for it is "partial 16S ribosomal RNA". It matches the Rfam family "Bacterial small subunit ribosomal RNA", at positions 1251 to 1500 of the family's 1533-position model. The record is from RNAcentral.